Molecule: ribosomal RNA, 148 nt
Filed under: uncultured bacterium
Lineage: Bacteria
Description: partial 16S ribosomal RNA
Rfam family: Bacterial small subunit ribosomal RNA
Source: RNAcentral
UUUACUCCUACGGGAGGCAGCAGUGGGGAAUAUUGCACAAUGGGGGAAACCCUGAUGCAGCAACGCCGCGUGAGUGAUGACGGUCUUCGGAUUGUAAAGCUCUGUCUCAGGGACGAUAAUGACCUACCGAGAGAUGCAUUCCCCUCCU